UGGGGAAUAUUGCACAAUGGGGGAAACCCUGAUGCAGCGACGCCGCGUGAACGAAGAAGGUAUUCGUAUCGUAAAGUUCUGUCCUAUGGGAAGAUAAUGACAGUACCAUAGAAGAAAGCUCCGGCUAAAUACGUGCCAGCAGCCGCGGUAAUACGUAUGGAGCGAGCGUUGUCCGGAAUUAUUGGGCGUAAAGGGUACGCAGGCGGUUUAAUAAGUCGAAUGUUAAAGAUCGGGGCUCAACCCCGUAAAGCAUUGGAAACUGAUAAACUUGAGUAGUGGAGAGGAAAGUGGAAUUCCUAGUGUAGUGGUGAAAUACGUAGAUAUUAGGAGGAAUACCAGUAGCGAAGGCGACUUUCUGGACACAAACUGACGCUGAGGUACGAAAGCGUGGGGAGAAAACAGG
Molecule: ribosomal RNA, 403 nt
Filed under: bacterium
Lineage: Bacteria
Description: partial 16S ribosomal RNA
Rfam family: Bacterial small subunit ribosomal RNA
Source: RNAcentral